UUCUAUGGAAGUACUCCAAGAAGAAGAAGAAGCUAAGCAACAGAAUGCAAUUCUCUGAGGCAUUGAUUUACAUGUAUGUGCAUAUAAAGAGCAGCCAGCAAUUAUUUCAUGACGAGAGCUUGUUACCAAAUGAAAGGAAAGUGCAGUAUUAGAAUCACUGAAGUUCAUGUUACGACGAACAUGUAGGUGCAAAUCUAGAUGUCCUGUAAAAAAACCUGGUAUCAAAGAACUGAAAAGUAAAGAAACAGAACCAAAGAACAUUCAUUUUAAAUUAAUACAAUAGUGAAC
Molecule: long non-coding RNA, 288 nt
Organism: Mytilus trossulus (common blue mussel)
Lineage: Eukaryota; Metazoa; Mollusca; Bivalvia; Mytilida; Mytilidae
Exons: 3
Source: RefSeq, a predicted model, not a curated record